GCGUGGCCUCGGCGGGGGUUUUCGCGGGAACAGCGUCCUCUGGCGGGCGGCCGAGGACUCACCGCCGGGUGGAGUCGCUGUAGUGCACUGGUCCGGGGGGACAGCGGCCCCUAGCGGCCGGCCUAAGACUCGCCGCCAGGUGGAGUCGCUGUAGUGGGUCUGGGGGAACAGCGACCCCUGGAGGGGGUGCAGCUCCUACCUGAGGCUCUCAGAACAGCGACCCUGGAGGUCACUAGGGACCGGGCCAUGGUCAGAGCAUCAGUGGAAGUUCUUCCAAGAACAGGAGCCUCCUGGGCUGCUGUGCACCCGCCCUGAUUCUCCCAGGGAGCCUCAAUUUGUCCAGCACCAAGCAGACCACUCGCUGUUUGGACUUCAGCAAAGAAAAUGUAGGUGGAGGUGGUGCUUCUACUCCUCCCAUGGGCGAGGCAUUCCGGAAAUCAGCAGACUCCUCGAUUACGUCCCACGUGCUUCUGCGGUUGCACAUUUUAUUUUGCAGAUAUGAAGUUAGCCGCUGUGCAUCCUGAACAGGAUUUGUCUCCUGACGAGAAUCACUUUGUUGUCAGACGUUUGGACACCGAUUUUACAAGCCUGGAGUGGAGGCCAGGUGAAGCUGGACACACUCUGCUUUGGUCAGGUCAUCGGGACCAAAAUGCUUACAUUCCUGAAAUAAAAUCUUCCUUUGCUGGCUUCAAACAGCUUGGGAAUUGUCCCACAAAUUCCUGCAGUGUAUUACUCAGUUUCUGGGUACUGUUUCUCUGUGUACUGAUAGAAGGAUGACUUCUUCCUACGCUAUGUUUUCUUGUAUAUAAAACAAGCUCCCAUAGUCCCAUCUUUGUAUCAUAGCCUGACUGACAAAUCAAAUUGGCCAUAUGAAGUCCUUGUGGAGAGAU
Long non-coding RNA from Microtus oregoni (creeping vole), 890 nucleotides. RefSeq lists it as uncharacterized. The record is from RefSeq and is a predicted model, not a curated record. The transcript is spliced from 5 exons. NCBI's taxonomy places the organism in Eukaryota, Metazoa, Chordata, Mammalia, Rodentia, Cricetidae.